This 1180-nucleotide ribosomal RNA is filed under the name Thermococcus sp. Tc-2-85. RNAcentral describes it as "bacterial SSU rRNA". It matches the Rfam family "Archaeal small subunit ribosomal RNA", at positions 22 to 1198 of the family's 1478-position model. Lineage: Archaea; Methanobacteriati; Methanobacteriota; Thermococci; Thermococcales; Thermococcaceae. The record is from RNAcentral.
GGCCACUGCUAUGGGGGUCCGACUAAGCCAUGCGAGUCAUGGGGCGCGCUCUGCGCGCACCGGCGGACGGCUCAGUAACACGUCGGUAACCUACCCUCGGGAGGGGGAUAACCCCGGGAAACUGGGGCUAAUCCCCCAUAGGCCUGGGGUACUGGAAGGUCCCCAGGCCGAAAGGGGCUCUGCCCGCCCGAGGAUGGGCCGGCGGCCGAUUAGGUAGUUGGUGGGGUAACGGCCCACCAAGCCGAAGAUCGGUACGGGCCAUGAGAGUGGGAGCCCGGAGAUGGACACUGAGACACGGGUCCAGGCCCUACGGGGCGCAGCAGGCGCGAAACCUCCGCAAUGCGGGAAACCGCGACGGGGGGACCCCCAGUGCCGUGGCACAGCCACGGCUUUUCCGGAGUGUAAAAAGCUCCGGGAAUAAGGGCUGGGCAAGGCCGGUGGCAGCCGCCGCGGUAAUACCGGCGGCCCAAGUGGUGGCCGCUAUUAUUGGGCCUAAAGCGUCCGUAGCCGGGCCCGUAAGUCCCUGGCGAAAUCCCACGGCUCAACCGUGGGGCUUGCUGGGGAUACUGCGGGCCUUGGGACCGGGAGAGGCGGGGGGUACCCCUGGGGUAGGGGUGAAAUCCUAUAAUCCCAGGGGGACCGCCAGUGGCGAAGGCGCCCCGCUGGAACGGGUCCGACGGUGAGGGACGAAGGCCAGGGGAGCGAACCGGAUUAGAUACCCGGGUAGUCCUGGCUGUAAAGGAUGCGGGCUAGGUGUCGGGCGAGCUUCGAGCUCGCCCGGUGCCGGAGGGAAGCCGUUAAGCCCGCCGCCUGGGGAGUACGGCCGCAAGGCUGAAACUUAAAGGAAUUGGCGGGGGAGCACUACAAGGGGUGGAGCGUGCGGUUUAAUUGGAUUCAACGCCGGGAACCUCACCGGGGGCGACGGCAGGAUGAAGGCCAGGCUGAAGGUCUUGCCGGACGCGCCGAGAGGAGGUGCAUGGCCGCCGUCAGCUCGUACCGUGAGGCGUCCACUUAAGUGUGGUAACGAGCGAGACCCGCGCCCCCAGUUGCCAGUCCUCCCCGCUGGGGAGGAGGCACUCUGGGGGGACCGCCGGCGAUAAGCCGGAGGAAGGAGCGGGCGACGGUAGGUCAGUAUGCCCCGAAACCCCGGGCUACACGCGCGCUACAAUGGGCGGGACAA